This 695-nucleotide long non-coding RNA is filed under the name Homo sapiens (human). Its description in RNAcentral is "HSALNT0183504". The record is from RNAcentral. Lineage: Eukaryota; Metazoa; Chordata; Mammalia; Primates; Hominidae.
AGGCACUCGGGGUCUCCCUCCUCCAGGGUUUCCUGAAACAGGAUGCAUUCAGCCCUUGUAGAGUUGCUGGGGAAGUGGAAGGAAAACAGAGGUGACUCUUGAAGCCCCAGGAGCUGACCUUAGAUCUUGACACUCCUGGUGUGUGCAAAGGUCUGAGGAGACGGCCAGAUUGAGGUAAAGCAGUAAAAAUCCGUGCUUGUCAGGAAAGUAGCAAGAGCCGAGUUCUACACUAACCAUUGGCUGGCCUGGGGCAGCCUGCAGCUGCACAACUGCCUCGUACAAUGGCAUGGACAAGCAGUGUCGGUGACGUAGCAGGCCGCUGGGGACCUGGGAGACAUCCUGCUGCUGCAGGAGUCCUGUGCAGAGCAGAGGAGAGAGCAGUUUGAAAAGAACACUGAGCCUCAGAGAGGUCAAGCAAUUGGCCCAAGAUCACACAGCCUGCAAGAAACAGAGAUGGGACUCAGACCCUGGUCUAUUUGGCUCCCAUGUGCCUUACUACUAUGUUAUACCCACCCCUCCAGGAAUUUCAAGUCCCAAGAAAUGGCCUCCAGAAGGAAAUCCUUUGCCAUCCCCCUAACUUGAGUAUUCAGUGAUUUCUGGAAUAGAACUUGCCUGUUACAGAAAUGGGAAAAAUAUGAAGACACAUGCAAUAAAAAUAAAAACUAAAUUUAGAAUGAAGAGGAGACACAACCUAG